This 503-nucleotide long non-coding RNA is filed under the name Mytilus galloprovincialis (Mediterranean mussel). The record is from RNAcentral. Lineage: Eukaryota; Metazoa; Mollusca; Bivalvia; Mytilida; Mytilidae.
GCCGAUUUGACUAGAUGCCGAUUUAACCAAGUGCCGAUUUGACUUUUUCUAUGGGUGCCGAUUUGACUUGUACCCAGUCAUCUCGGACUAUUCACUUCGUAUCACCGUUAAAUUCUAGGAGGAACCCCAUUUCUAACUCUUUAAUUAUUAAUUUCCUUUGGGACAGUGGGCAUGAAUCCUUCCGUACACACUCCUCUGUUUAAAUUGAGAUCGUUCUUAAUAUAAUACGACGUUUAUCGACAUCUAAAGAGUUAAUUUUUUCUUGACGAUUUUGACGGGAAAUACUUCUGAAAGGGAGACAACUCGAAACGAUAAUAUGGAAGACUCCAUUUCGGCUAAAGGGGUGUUAUAGGUAAAACUUCAUUGAUUUUAAUUUAAAUGAUGCAUAUGAUUUUAAAUUAUGCAACAACAAUAUUAAACCCUCAAUAGCAGGCAGACAUAGAAAGAAUCCAAUGAGUUUCAAAUUAAUUAAUAAGCGGGGAAUCCAGAACAACCACUCAAUC